AUUAUAAAUUUGAAAAAGGGGAGAAAAGUAAAAUUUAUAAACUGGGUAACCAAAAUUAAUCAAAUGUUGAUGGGCUAGAGUGUGAGAGUGGGAGCCAGAAAUCUGUCAUACUUGAGCUUUGAAGCGUGAGAGAGAGAGAAAAGGGAGGGGAUAAAGCAAAGUAAUGUGAUUGUGACUUGUAUUAAUUUACACGGUACUUUAGUUCAAAUCUUUAAAAAAAAAAAAAAUUUAUGUGCCGAUUUUCCAUUUUACCCCUUUUAGUCACCCCCUAGUCCUAUGCUAUGAUCCAGGGCAGAUUUGUCCAUUACCAACGACUCUAAAUCAAAAUAGGCUCCACCACCUUAAACUCUCACUUCAGCCCAUGAAAGGGAGGAGAGCUGAGAGUCCAUUGGACAUGAAAACCUACUUAAACAAAACUAAUAUCUUCUCCUAAAAAAAAUUAGUAUUACUGUUGAAAUUAUUAAUUAUUAAUUUUUAAUGAAUUAUGGCCUUUAGUCUAAUUCCUAUUAGGUUUGAAGUUUCAUGCAAAAAUGUUAGCUAAUUUCACCAUGAGCUUAUUGAUGACUUUGUUCCUCAAUUGAAUAUUGAGUUUUGUCCAAACUUGUAAAUUUUUUCUUAUAUUCGCUUGACAGAUCAUAAGUGCAUUUGACCAAAAUUUGUAAAUGUGUAGAGUGAAGUUGAGUGAACAACAAACUUUUGUCUUCAUCCUCAAUUACACCGAAUGAACAAAUACAAAUAAAAGUUCUUAGACAAAUACUUGCAACAAAACUUUCAUUACAAAGAAAUUUCCAUCUUGGAAUUUAGCCUUCACAAAAGUCCAAACAUGAUAGUCCACUUGUUGGGUAAUUAUCAAAUUUCCAUCAUGGAAUUUAGUUAUGCCUUGCUUCAAUAAUUAAGAUAAGAAGAAGAAUUUCAUCAAAAAAAAAAAAAAAAAAAGGAUAAGAAGUUUCAUAAUUGGACCACCUACUAGUCCACUUGUUGGGUAAUUGUCAUGUUCACAACUUUGCUUACAUAAUAAUAUCUUUCUACCUAAUACUCCACUCCUACAAUUAUAUCAACAUUUUAUACUCUCUACAAUUUCUCUUCUAUUCUCUAUUCUCCUCUUCAACCGACUGUCUCUCUCUCUCUCUCUCUCUUCAUCUCAUCGACCUUGACAAAGUGAUCAGCAUCCUUAAGUAUUUGCAACAGGACUUCUCUUUUUUAUAGCACCAGCCAGCAAGUUCCAAAAUAAGUUUAAAGGUCAAAUACCUCUCCUCAAAUUUCAAGAUUUGCCAAUAUAUUUCUAAUGGCUGCCAUUAGCACUCAAUCUGCCUCAUCUUCGUCAUCAAUUUCUUCUUCAACACCACAAUGGAAAUACGAUGUCUUUCUCAGCUUUAGAGGUGAGGACACACGCAAUAGAUUUACUGACCAUCUAUAUGUUGCCUUAAAACAAAAGGGCAUUCUCACCUUUAGAGACGAGGAAAAACUUGAGACAGGAAAAUCUAUUUCAUCAGAACUUUUGAAAGCAAUAGAAAAAUCAAGGUUUGCAAUUGUCAUUCUUUCAAGAAACUAUGCAUCUUCUACAUGGUGUUUGGAUGAACUUGUAAAGAUCAUUAGGUGCAUGAAAGAGAUGAAGAUGAUGGUUCUACCAAUUUUUUAUGAUGUGGAUCCAUCUACUAUACGAAAGCAAAUGGGUACUUUUGCCCAAGCCUUUGCUAAACAUGAAGAAAAUUUCAAGGACUCCAUAGACAAGGUGCAAGCAUGGAGAACUACUUUGAGAGAAGUAGCCAAUAUCAAAGGAUGGCAUGUACAAGAUAGGCCUGAGUCACAAAUUAUCCAGAACAUUGUGGGAGAAUUGUGGCAUAAAUUAAGUUAUGCAUUCUCAGAAUGUACCAAAAACCUAGUAGGAAUAAUUUGUCAAGCGGAGAAAUUGGAGUCAUGUUUGGAUUUAGGGUCAAACGAUGUUCGCAUGGUAGGGAUUUGGGGGAUGGGAGGAAUAGGUAAAACAACUCUUGCUAGAGUUGUGUUUCGUAUGGUUUCAAAUAAGUUUGAAGAUAAGUUUGAAGGUUGUUGUUUUCUUGCUAAUGUUAGGGGAGUUUGUGAAAAAGUUGGUUUAGUUCGAUUACAAAAACAACUCAUUCUUCAAAUUUUGAAUGAAAAUAUGGGUGUAGAAGAUGUUAAUGAAGGAGUUUUUGUGAUCAAGAACAGGUUACGUCAUAAAAAAAUUCUUCUUGUUCUUGAUGAUGUAGAUCAAUUAGACCAAUUAAACAAGUUAGCAGGGGAUCAUAAUUGGUUUGGUUUAGGUAGUAGAGUUAUCAUAACAACAAGAGAUAAGCAUUUGCUACAGACUCUUGGAGUAGAUGAAAUAUAUGAGGCUAAUGGAUUGACUCAUGAUGAAUCUCUUCAUCUUUUGAGUUUGAAAGCAUUUAAAAAAGAUCAUCCACCCAAAGAUUAUCUAAAGUUGUCCAGGGAUUUUGUAUAUUAUGCUAAUAACCUUCCUUUAGCUAUUGAGAUUUUGGGUUCUUUUUUGUUUGGUAGAAGUAUCCAUCAAUGGAAAAGUACAUUAAAUAGGCUAAAACAGUUUCCUGAAAAAGAUAUUCUCCAAGUACUUAGAAUAAGUUUUGAAGGACUACAUGAAACAGAGAAGGAAAUAUUUCUAAAUAUUGCUUGUUUCUUUAAUCAUGAGGGGAAAAAUGAUGUAGUAGAAAUACUAAAUUAUCUUGACCUUUUUCCAGAUGUUGGAUUAGGGGUUCUUUUUGAUAAAUCUCUUGUUAAAUUUCGGGGUUCUACCUUGUGGAUGCAUGAUUUGCUUCAAGAAAUGGGCAAGAACAUAGUUUAUGAAGAGUGUACUAAAGAGCCUGGAAAACGUGGCAAAUUGUGGCUGUUUAAGGAGAUUAACGAUGUACUGACAAAAAAUACGGGAACAAAAGCAAUUCAAGGCAUAGUCUUAAAGUUGCAUAAACAAAAAGAGGUAUAUUGGAAUCCUGAAUCCUUUUCAAAGGUUCAUGAUCUUAAAUUGCUCAUAAUUGAUAAUGUUCACCUUUUACACGAGCCCAAAUAUCUUCCUAAUGCCUUGAGAUUUCUUGAUUGGAGUGAAUACCCUUCAAAAUAUUUUCCACCAAGUUUCCAACAAAAGUCUUUUGAUAGUUUGAAGUUCAUCAAAUUGAAGAAAUCACUAAAAUUAAUUGAAACUCCUGACUUCAACGAAAUCCCAAAUCUUGAGAAAUUGGAUCUUGAGGGUUGUAUAAAUUUACGUUCCUUGCACCCAUCAAUUGGAGUUCAUCAAAAACUCACUUUUCUUAACCUAGAAGGUUGCAAAAACCUCAGAAGUCUUCCAAGCAAGUUUGAAAUUGAGUUUCUUGAGAUCCUUAUUCUUUCUGGUUGCUCAAAUUUAAAAAGAAUUCCGGAGUUUGGAGAAAAUAUGAAAAAUGUAUCAAAGCUUUACUUGGAUGGCACUGCUAUUACAAAAUUACCAACAUCAAUUGAAAAUUUGACUGGGCUUGUUUCAUUGAAUGUAAAAGAUUGCAAAAAUCUCAUGUCUCUUCCUAACACCUUUUUUAAUAUGAAGUGGCUCGAAGAUCUCAAUCUUUCUAGAUGCUCAAAAGUACAGGAAAACUUGGUGACUGAGAAAAGGGUAGAAGAGGUUGAUGUGAGUGGAACUGCCACAGGACUUAUGGCUUAUUCCAAUAUUCUUUUUCAAACUCUUAAAACACUAGCUAUGGGUGGAUUUAAGCCGAGAAGUUCCAAUCGCAUGGGCUUGUUAACGGCUUCUUUAUGGGGCUUGUGUUCUUUGACCUGUCUAAAUCUAAGUUAUUGCAAUCUCAAUGCAAUCCCCAAUGAUAUUUGUUGCUUAUUCUCUUUAAAAUAUUUAUAUCUAAGCGGCAAUAAUUUUAAUUGUCUUCCGGAAAACAUUGCUCAACUAUCUAGGCUGUAUCGGUUGGAGGUGAACAAUUGUACAAGUCUUCUAUCAUUGCCAAAGCUUCCAUUAAAUAUUUGUUUUAUUUUGGGAAAGGGUUGUACCUCACUAGAAACUCUACCAGAUCUAUUACCACCAAAUUCUCCAUUUGAGCGUUACGUCUACCUUACAAAUUGCAGUAAAUUGGCUGAGAAUCAAGGCUUCAUUGACAAUGGAUUGCUGUUUUUUGCAGCGAUAAUAAGUUCCCUUCGGUGCCCUCGCUCUAAUACCCGUUACUACAGAUAUAACGGUGUUAUCCCUGGAAGUGAAAUUUCAAAGUGGUUUACACAUCAAAGUAUUGGGGAUGAGGUUAGUAUUCAAGAACCUAAUUCUCUUUUGUGUAAUGAGUGGAUCGGGAUUGCUGUUUGCGCAUUAUUUUGUUCUAAUCCACAUCACCAAAUCCUAAAAGAAGGUUUACUUAGCUGUUGGUUGAUAGUCAACGGAAAACAAAUGAAUCGCGCACCACUCACGACCGACUUUGUUCCUUUAUCGGAUCACACUUGGCUUCCUCAAUUCUACGAGGAGGAAGAAAUGAAGAAAUCAUUGUGCGAAUGCGAUGCAAAUGGAUUCAGUGAGAUUGGAAUUAAAAUUAAAAAUACUCGUGAAUUUUUGAAGGUCCCAUUAAUGGUAAAGAAGUGCGGGUUGCGAAUGAUAUACAAGAAAGAUAUUGAAGAUCUUAGUUUCGACAAUUCGACGGCGGCGGCAGUGGAAGGUUACAAAGCCAAGCGAACUCGUGAUGACUAUGAUGGGGCUGGAAGCUCUAAUUACGAACCUCACCCAAAAAGGAUUGAAAGAGUCACAAAAUUUAUGGGUGAGGGUAACUCUAACUGUGAGGAAUCAAGUGAGAACAAGGAAUGUGCUGAAGAGCUAGGUGAUUGAAGGUUAAUCAACUUUUUUCUCUGCAUGGAUGAAGAGCUGGACGAAGGGAGGGAGUUUUGGGGAUCUUAAAGCACUUCUCAUUGUCCUUUUUCUCUGUUUUAUGGGUAACUUACAGUUCAAAAAACAAAGAAAAGCCUUGAUAGUAGCAGGAUAAGCAAGUGUAGACCUUUAGAGAGAAGGAAAUGCAGGGGAUCCAAGCUUCUUUUGAAAAAAUAGAGAAGGUGGAUGGAUUCCCUGCAGAGUCUAGAUCCCUAGGAACCCUUGCCCCUAAAUUCUUUGUGAACAUUAGCUUGGAUAACAUGCAGCAAACUUUGAAUCUUAUACUUUUCUGCUUGUGCUGUUUUGGUUCCUUCGUUUCAAAAUGUACGAAAAAAGAAUGGCAAGACAAAGAACUUUGUGGUGUUUUGAAUGCAGUAGAAAUCAUGUGCUGGAAAGCAAGUAAACAUUGAAACUGGAAGCUUUUACUGCCAAAGGCAUGGAUCAUGAGCUGGCUGAUUAGUGGAAAUUUGAAGAACUUAAAGUUCUUCUAGGUAGCUAACAGUUAAGAACUAAAGGAUUGCAUCCACAGUAGUAAAAUAAGCAAAGUCCAGACCUUUAUAGAAUCUUCCAACUGGCAACCAAUCCUGUUUGAGGAGAGCUGCAAGGGUAGAAGAACGAAAUGGAGGGGAUUCAUUCAGUUUUGAUUGUAAACAUAAAGAUGGGUCCAUUUCUGGUUGUUUGAGCUGGACUAGGGAGGCUGGAAUAGAAAUAACACAGAGGUGACAGAUCGAGCUGAUGAAGGACAUUCAGAUGUUUAGGAACCAGUUGACAGAUGUUUCGGGUUCGGAGAGGAGUUCAGACGUCUUCUGACAGAGCCUCAAUCUCCAGCAACCAUUGCUCCUAACUUCUUUAUGAACUUUAGCUUCGAUAACACAGUUGUUGAAUAGAAUAGUACAAUAGUUGUUGAUGAUUCUGCUUUCUUUAAACGACACUGUUUUUACUAAUUAAAUGCCAUGACAGUAGAGUGACGCCCUUUCAUUAAUUUGAUAGUUUUCGCUUGAUAGCUGUUGGUCCUUUCCAGUUGUCAAUGCCUCAUUGGCUCCACGUUAAUAUGAAGAAACUAAUAAUGCUUUUUAA
Molecule: RNA transcript, 5929 nt
Organism: Quercus lobata
Lineage: Eukaryota; Viridiplantae; Streptophyta; Magnoliopsida; Fagales; Fagaceae
Gene name: TMV resistance protein N-like
Exons: 11
Source: RefSeq, a predicted model, not a curated record